UGCGCAGGCGGUUUUUUAAGUCAGAUGUGAAAUACCCGGGCUUAACCUGGGGGGUGCAUUUGAAACUGGGGAACUUGAGUGCAGGAGAGGAAAGUGGAAUUCCUAGUGUAGCGGUGAAAUGCGUAGAUAUUAGGAGGAACACCAGUGGCGAAGGCGACUUUCUGGACUGUAACUGACGCUGAGGCACGAAAGCGUGGGGAGCAAACAGGAUUAGAUACCCUGGUAGUCCACGCCGUAAACGAUGGAUACUAGGUGUAGGGGGCGAUAGCUCUCUGUGCCGCAGCAAACGCAAUAAGUAUCCCGCCUGGGGAUACGAUCGCAAGGUUGAA
Molecule: ribosomal RNA, 329 nt
Filed under: uncultured bacterium
Lineage: Bacteria
Description: bacterial SSU rRNA
Rfam family: Bacterial small subunit ribosomal RNA
Source: RNAcentral